Aegilops tauschii subsp. strangulata is the source of this 1110-nucleotide non-coding RNA. NCBI's taxonomy places the organism in Eukaryota, Viridiplantae, Streptophyta, Magnoliopsida, Poales, Poaceae. The record is from RefSeq and is a predicted model, not a curated record.
GCUCUCGCCCCGAACGACCUUUUGAUCGUAGGAUGUCAGCACUGAUCCUAAAGCAUGUUAAAGCAGAGGUCCACGGCCACGUCAGCUAGUGAAAUCGUUCGGUAAAAGUGAUCCUCAUCCCGAACGAUGCUUCCUCCCCUGCCACACGCUCUCUUCAUCCUUAUCCUUUCAUCCCACACACACUGACCCAGCCACCGCAGACGGUGAGCGGACCGCGGAGGCCGACCGCCGCAGCUGGCUGCGAUACUCGCCGGCGCCGAGCACCUGGCCGGCGUGCUCCGGGUCCGAGCCGAGCGUCUCCAUCUGCUGUCGUGGGCGGAGGCCGAGGGGCGAGUGACGCGGCGGUCACCGAGGCCGCCGCCAUCUGCGCGCUAAUCGCCGUCGCCGAGCUGACCGUCCCCGACGCCAUCGGAGUCCGCCAUCGCUCCGAGCUGCGUCUCCUCCGCCGCGCACCUUCGCACCCGUCGUGACGGCGCGGCUGGAGGCGACGGCGCCGUCCAGCACCUUGGCGCCCUCCUCCUCAUGAGCGACGGAACACUCCUCGUCGUCUCCUCCGGCUUAUCGGACGCCGGGGAAUUUGUCUAUUGCGCGGCCGCCCGGAGGCGAGGGCGCCAUCCUGCACCGCGACACCCUCCGCCGUCAUGUCUCUCCUAGCACGGUGACCAGGCGAUGCCCAUGGGCGACGGGACCCUCCUGCUCGUCUUCUACGGGCGCUGCGGUUGCCGGGAAUUCUAGGCCGGAGGCCAUCACGCGCUAUUUUUUGCUAUCGCUGCUAUGUGUCACUACUAUCAGGUAGUGAGACGCCUGCAGGUAUUCAGAAAAAAAGGCCUGUAGGGCCCGGUGGAUGGGGCGUUCGCGCUGGUUCGUUCUUCUCCCGAACGAAAUCGUUCGGUCGAUGCCCCAGCCCUCCCGAACGAGUCGUUCGGGCCGGGGUGUCUACAGCCCGAACGUCCGGUACUUAUCGGCGUCCCUAAUAUAUAGUAUAUGUGCCUUGUUUUCCUCAUGUUUUAUUUGUGUGCGCGCGUUAAUUUAACUGUUGUGCAUGACUGUAUGACCAGCUAAUUCAAUCAGCUGCAAUCAUGAACGAACGUGCAGAGUGCAGUUUCGUUA